CGGGCCCCCCCUCCGCAAGUGGGAAGGGGCGGUGCGGGCCUUAAGGGGGUGCGACAUUUAAGGUGGCCCGCUGCCUGCCAUCUGUGGUCCGCGUGGGUCUUUCUCAGAUACGCUCCCGCCGCGGAAGCUGAUUCACACGGGGCAGCCAGCUUCCACCACCAGCCAAGAGGCUGGGGGCCCUGAGUCUGCCCGGACCAGCCCCUGGGGCUCUAUAAAUCGUCUAAGAAGACAAAGGAGUUUGCAGUUACAUAACGAAGGCUCCGCCCAGCCUUAAGAACAACGGAGCCGAGGGGCGCGAGGCCGCCUGGGCGCGGAGGACACCGCCUCUGAGCCGGGAGCUCCGCCUGCUGGACACUUGGGCGCCCGGGGCUCAUCCGAACGUCUCCGCUCCGUCGCACCUGUGGCCACCGAGGACCGGGCAGCUACCAGCACCAGGACCCCAGCCUGGGCCUGGGUCGAGCGUUCUUCCGCAUGAUUUCAGUAGUGAAAUUACGGCUAAAGGGCUCGUUUUGAAGAGUACAUAAAACUUUUUUUUAAACCA
Molecule: long non-coding RNA, 541 nt
Organism: Tupaia belangeri chinensis (Chinese tree shrew)
Lineage: Eukaryota; Metazoa; Chordata; Mammalia; Scandentia; Tupaiidae
Exons: 2
Source: RefSeq, a predicted model, not a curated record